RNAcentral lists this transfer RNA (72 nucleotides) under Camelus bactrianus (Bactrian camel). It matches the Rfam family "tRNA". Rfam says of the family: Transfer RNA (tRNA) molecules are approximately 80 nucleotides in length. Lineage: Eukaryota; Metazoa; Chordata; Mammalia; Artiodactyla; Camelidae. RNAcentral also lists the same sequence under 2 other names. The record is from Rfam by way of RNAcentral.
GAAGUUGUAGCUCAGUGGUAGAGUGCGUGCUUAGCAUGCACGAGGUCCUGGGUUCAAUCCCCAGUACUUCCA